UAGCUCAGUGGUAGAGCACUUGCCUAGCAAGCACAAGGCCCUGGGUUCGGUCCCCAG
This is a non-coding RNA of Rattus norvegicus (Norway rat), 57 nucleotides long. NCBI's taxonomy places the organism in Eukaryota, Metazoa, Chordata, Mammalia, Rodentia, Muridae. The record is from Rfam.